UUGCGCAGAGCCUGGAUGCCUUGCGAGGUCGAAUUCAACUGCUGGGCCAGCGCCUGCGCCGCAUUGAGCACGCCGGUGCGCGCCGAUUGCGAGUCGGGGCUCNGAAUCGGGACUUGUCGAGAGCGACUGAAGCGCGGUCGUGAGCGAAUUGAAUGCCGCUUCAAUCGUGGCAGACGAAUCCGGAUCACCAUAGACGCUCUGCAGGUUGUUCAGGAAAUUCGCACGCGUGCGGGUGUAGGCCGCGCCCGAGGU
Molecule: unclassified non-coding RNA, 252 nt
Filed under: Hevea brasiliensis (rubber tree)
Lineage: Eukaryota; Viridiplantae; Streptophyta; Magnoliopsida; Malpighiales; Euphorbiaceae
Source: RNAcentral